This 433-nucleotide ribosomal RNA is filed under the name uncultured bacterium. RNAcentral's name for it is "partial 16S ribosomal RNA". It matches the Rfam family "Bacterial small subunit ribosomal RNA", at positions 29 to 506 of the family's 1533-position model. The record is from RNAcentral.
AGCGAACGCUGGCAGCAGGCCUAACACAUGCAAGUCGAACGAACCUUUCGGGGUUAGUGGCGGACGGGUGAGUAACACGUGGGAACGUGCCUUUAGGUUCGGAAUAACUCAGGGAAACUUGUGCUAAUACCGAAUGUGCCCUUCGGGGGAAAGAUUAAUCGCCUUUAGAGCGGCCCGCGUCUGAUUAGCUAGUUGGUUGAGGUAAUGGCUCACCAAGGCGACGAUCAGUAGCUGGUCUGAGAGGAUGAUCAGCCACAUUGGGACUGAGACACGGCCCAAACUCAUACGGGAGGCAGCAGUGGGGAAUCUUGCGCAAUGGGCGAAAGCCUGACGCAGCCAUGCCGCGUGAAUGAUGAAGGUCUUAGGAUUGUAAAAUUCUUUCACCGGGGACGAUAAUGACGGUACCCGGAGAAGAAGCCCCGGCUAACUUCGU